AUGUUCUGGGCCCCGCCCCCUCCCUCAGACGGGCCCGAGUACAUCAUCUCGGUGGGGUGAGGUCCGGGUCUCUUGUUCACCCGUGUCGGGCUGGGGAUAGAGCAUCGCAAUUAUUGCUCUUCACCGAGGAAUGCCUAGUAGGCACGAGUCAUCAGCUCGUGCCGAUUACGUCCCUGCCCUUUGUACACACCGCCCGUCGCUACUUCCCAUUCAUGACUCGGUGAGGCCUUCGGACUGCCCCAGUCAGUUUACUCAGACCCCC
This 262-nucleotide ribosomal RNA is filed under the name Aspergillus sojae. RNAcentral's name for it is "partial small subunit ribosomal RNA". It matches the Rfam family "Eukaryotic small subunit ribosomal RNA", at positions 1477 to 1742 of the family's 1831-position model. The record is from RNAcentral. Lineage: Eukaryota; Fungi; Ascomycota; Eurotiomycetes; Eurotiales; Aspergillaceae.